This 465-nucleotide ribosomal RNA is filed under the name uncultured bacterium. Its description in RNAcentral is "partial 16S ribosomal RNA". It matches the Rfam family "Bacterial small subunit ribosomal RNA", at positions 28 to 507 of the family's 1533-position model. The record is from RNAcentral.
GACGAACGCUGGCGGCGUGCUUAACACAUGCAAGUCGAACGGUGAACUCCGCUUGCGGGGGGAUCAGUGGCGAACGGGUGCGUAACACGUGGGCAACCUGCCCUCAGCUCUGGGAUAACUCCAAGAAAUUGGGGCUAAUACCGGAUAUGACCGCUGACCGCAUGGUCUGGUGGUGGAAAGAUUUAUCGGCUGGGGAUGGGCCCGCGGCCUAUCAGCUUGUUGGUGGGGUAGUGGCCUACCAAGGCGACGACGGGUAGCCGGCCUGAGAGGGUGACCGGCCACACUGGGACUGAGACACGGCCCAGACUCCUACGGGAGGCAGCAGUGGGGAAUAUUGCGCAAUGGGCGAAAGCCUGACGCAGCGACGCCGCGUGGGGGAUGACGGCCUUCGGGUUGUAAACCUCUUUCAGCAGGGACGAAGCGAAAGUGACGGUACCUGCAGAAGAAGCACCGGCCAACUACGUG